This 74-nucleotide transfer RNA is filed under the name Brevundimonas naejangsanensis. RNAcentral's name for it is "tRNA-Lys". Lineage: Bacteria; Pseudomonadati; Pseudomonadota; Alphaproteobacteria; Caulobacterales; Caulobacteraceae. The record is from RNAcentral.
GCAACCCAAUGAAACCGGUACUUUGUCUGACUUUUAAUCAGAGGGUCCCCGGUUCGAGCCCGGGGGGCGUACCA